AGCAGCCGCGGUAAUUCCAGCUCCAAUAGCGUAUAUUAAAGUUGUUGCAGUUAAAAAGCUCGUAGUUGAAUUUCGAGAUCGGCUUACUGGUCGUGCUUUUGUACGUACUGGUAUAAUCGGUUUCUCCUUUCUGACGAACUUUAAUGCCAUUAAUUUGGUGUUUUAGGAAAUCAGGACUGUUACUUUGAAAAAAUUAGAGUGUUUAAAGCAGGCUCACGCUUGAAUACAUUAGCAUGGAAUAACGGAAUAGGACGUUUGAUUCUAUUUUGUUGGUUUCUAGGAUCGACGUAAUGAUUAAUAGGGAUAGUUGGGGGCAUUAGUAUUCAAUUGUCAGAGGUGAAAUUCUUGGAUUUAUUGAAGACUAACUACUGCGAAAGCAUUUGCCAGGAUGUUUCAUUAAUCAAGAACGAAAGUUAGGGAUCGAAGACGAUCAGAUACCGUCGUAGUCUUAACCAUAAACUAUGCCGACUAGGGAUCGGAUGAUGUUAAUUUUUAAUGUACUCAUUCGGCGCCUUACGGG
This 520-nucleotide ribosomal RNA is filed under the name uncultured Glomeraceae. RNAcentral describes it as "SSU rRNA". It matches the Rfam family "Eukaryotic small subunit ribosomal RNA", at positions 569 to 1094 of the family's 1831-position model. The record is from RNAcentral. Lineage: Eukaryota; Fungi; Glomeromycota; Glomeromycetes; Glomerales; Glomeraceae.